Molecule: ribosomal RNA, 253 nt
Filed under: uncultured bacterium
Lineage: Bacteria
Description: partial 16S ribosomal RNA
Rfam family: Bacterial small subunit ribosomal RNA
Source: RNAcentral
UACGUAGGGGGCAAGCGUUGUCCGGAAUCAUUGGGCGUAAAGCGCGUGUAGGCGGCCCGGUAAGUCCGCUGUGAAAGUCGGGGGCUCAACCCUCGAAUGCCGGUGGAUACUGUCGGGCUAGAGUGCGGGAGAGGCGAGUGGAAUUCCUGGUGUAGCGGUGAAAUGCGCAGAUAUCAGGAGGAACACCAGUGGCGAAGGCGGCUCACUGGCCCGAUACUGACGCUGAGGCACGAAAGCGUGGGGAGCAAACAGG